UACAGAGGGUGCGAGCGUUGUUCGGAAUUAUUGGGCGUAAAGGGCGCGUAGGCGGUGCGGCAAGUCACCUGUGAAACCUCUGGGCUUAACCCCGAAACGGCACUCGAAACUGCCCGGCUGGAGGGCCGGAGAGGAGAUCGGAAUUCACGGUGUAGCAGUGAAAUGCGUAGAGAUCGUGAGGAAGACCCGUGGCGAAGGCGGAUCUCUGGACGGCUAACUGACGCUGAGGCGCGAAGGCCAGGGGAGCAAACGGG
This 254-nucleotide ribosomal RNA is filed under the name uncultured bacterium. RNAcentral's name for it is "partial 16S ribosomal RNA". It matches the Rfam family "Bacterial small subunit ribosomal RNA", at positions 524 to 776 of the family's 1533-position model. The record is from RNAcentral.